UUGAAUGAUUAUACAUUUUUAACCCUGAUCACCAUGAAGAUCAAAAUCGCAACAACACUCUAAUUUUUUAAUGACG
RNAcentral lists this small nucleolar RNA (76 nucleotides) under Diplodia corticola. Its description in RNAcentral is "Botryosphaeria corticola A. fimigatus snoRNA Afu_298". It matches the Rfam family "A. fimigatus snoRNA Afu_298". Lineage: Eukaryota; Fungi; Ascomycota; Dothideomycetes; Botryosphaeriales; Botryosphaeriaceae. The record is from Rfam by way of RNAcentral.